RNA transcript from Rhinopithecus roxellana (golden snub-nosed monkey), 1101 nucleotides. It is a transcript of the gene named isocitrate dehydrogenase [NAD] subunit alpha, mitochondrial pseudogene, with no coding region annotated. The transcript has a single exon. The record is from RefSeq and is a predicted model, not a curated record. NCBI's taxonomy places the organism in Eukaryota, Metazoa, Chordata, Mammalia, Primates, Cercopithecidae.
AUGGCUGGGCCCACUUGGAUCUCCAAGGUCUCUCCGCUGCUGGGGGCAUUCCACAACCCAAAACAGGUGACCAAAGGUUUUACUGGUGUUGUUCAGUCAGUAACUUUAAUUCCAGGGGAUGAUAUUGGCCCAGAAAUUUCAGCUGCAGUUAUGAAGAUUUUUGAUGCUGCCUAAGCACCUAUUCAGUGGGAGGAGCGGAACGUCACUGCCAUUCAAGGACCUGGAGGAAAAUGGAUGAUCCCUUCGGAGGCUUAAGAGUCCAUGGAUAAGAACAAGAUGGGCUUGAAAGGCCCUUGGAAGACCCCAAUAGCAGAGGGUCACCCAUCUAUGAAUUUACCUCUAUGCAAAACAUUUGACCUUUACACAAAUGUCCGACCAUGUGUCUCUAUCGAAGGCUAUAAAACCCCUUACACCGAUGUAAAUGUUGUGACCAUUCGAGAGAACACAGAAGGAGAAUACAGUGAAAUUGAGCAUGUGAUCGUUGAUGGAGUUGUGCAGAGUAUCAAGCCCAUCACCGAGGGGGCGAGCAAGCCCAUUGCUGAGUUUGCCUUUGAGUAUGCCCGGAACAACCACCGGAACAACGUCACGGCGGUGCACAAAGCCAACAUCACGCGGAUGUUAGAUGGGCUUUUUCUACAAAAAUGCAGGGAAGUUGCAGAAAACUGUAAAGAUAUUAAAUUUAAUGAGAUGUACCUUGAUACAGUAUGUUUGAAUAUGGUACAAGAUCCUUCCCAGUUUGAUGUUCUUAUUAUACCAAAUUUGUAUGGAGACAUCCUUAGUGACUUGUGUGCAGGAUUGAUCGGAGGUCUUGGUGUGACACCAAGUGGCAACAUUGGAGCCAAUGGGGUUGCAAUUUUUGAGUCCAUUCAUGGGACGGCUGUAGACAUUGCAGGCAAGGACAUGGCGAAUCCCACAGCCCUCCUGCUCAGUUCUGUGUUGAUGUUGCGCCACAUGGGACUUUUAGACCAUGCUGCAAGAAUUGAGGCCGCGUGUUUUGCUACGAUUAAGGAUGGAAAGAGCUUGACAAAAGAUUUGGGAGGCAAUGCAAAAUGCUCAGACUUCACAGAGGAAAUCUGUCGCCAAGUAAAAGAUUUAGAUUAA